Molecule: non-coding RNA, 95 nt
Organism: Termitomyces sp. Mi166#008
Lineage: Eukaryota; Fungi; Basidiomycota; Agaricomycetes; Agaricales; Lyophyllaceae
Source: the annotation of a GenBank genome assembly
UCGGGUAUGGUGUAACGGCUAACAUUGCCGCCUUUCAUCAGUUCGAGUAGCAUGAAACUCCGCGGCAGCUCGGGGUUCGAUUCCCCGUACCCGAA